GACGAACGCUGGCGGCGUGCUUAACACAUGCAAGUCGAACGGAAAGGCCCUGCUUGCAGGGUACUCGAGUGGCGAACGGGUGAGUAACACGUGGGUGAUCUGCCCUGCACUUCGGGAUAAGCCUGGGAAACUGGGUCUAAUACCGGAUAGGAGCCAUUUUUAGUGUGAUGGUUGGAAAGUUUUUUCGGUGUAGGAUGAGCUCGCGGCCUAUCAGCUUGUUGGUGGGGUAAUGGCCUACCAAGGCGGCGACGGGUAGCCGGCCUGAGGGGGUGGACGGCCAAAUUGGGACUGAGAUACGGCCCGGCUUCCUACGGGAGGAAGCGGUGGGGAAUAUUGCACAAUGGGGGCAAGCCUGAUGCAGCGCCGCCGCGUGGGGGAUGACGGCCUCCGGGUUGUAAACUCCUUUCGCUAGGGACGAAGCUUUUUGUGACGGUACUUAGAUAGAAGCACCGGCUAACUACGUG
This 464-nucleotide ribosomal RNA is filed under the name uncultured bacterium. RNAcentral's name for it is "partial 16S ribosomal RNA". It matches the Rfam family "Bacterial small subunit ribosomal RNA", at positions 28 to 507 of the family's 1533-position model. The record is from RNAcentral.